Cucurbita pepo subsp. pepo (vegetable marrow) is the source of this 2670-nucleotide non-coding RNA. The record is from RefSeq and is a predicted model, not a curated record. NCBI's taxonomy places the organism in Eukaryota, Viridiplantae, Streptophyta, Magnoliopsida, Cucurbitales, Cucurbitaceae.
CGCGGAAAUCAGAGGGAGAAGGACCGAGAGAGGGCUCAGGCUCGUAACCCUGGCAAGGGCAAAUCCAAGGAUGAUGGUUUGACCCACGAGCAGCGCCGUGAAAGGGAUGCGAAGGCUCUACAGGAGAAGGCGGCGAAGAAGGCGGCUCAGGCAUCAGGGGGAGAUAAUUCGUCCGGAGGUAAAAGUAGCAAUAAAAAGUAAAUCGCCGUGAACUAUGUCGAUUUUUAACUUUGUUCUUGUUGGAACGCUGAGAUCUCGUGGAUUUCUUAAGACUGUUUGAUAUUGGAGAAACAACCUCUGUAUGUCUAAAUGAUGUGAAUGGAUAUGUAUUAUGCGGUCAACGUUAAUUGGAGAAAACUCUCUUGAUAUGUUGUGUUGAGCUGAUUAUGUUGUUAAUGCUUGAUUUCCUGGAGAUUGGAUCUAGAUGAGAAGUUUCUCAAUUAUGAUCUGAUCUAACACAGAUCUUCAUGAAGAAAAGAAAUGAAAUCUUAUGGUUCUAUCAUUUGACUUCUUUAGUUACAAUUUUCAUUAGAAUGAUAAAUCCUUCUGUUCCUUUGCAUUAACACAAGACAAAAUUACAAAAGGAGAUUUCUAUUGUUAAUAAUUUAGUUGUUGGCUCCUAGAGAGAGGCACUGAAAUGGGCCAGAUCCCACGUCUCCUCCCCUCUUGUUCCUUUCCAACUGUGUGUCCAGAAUAUAGCCGACAAAAUGACUAGCCAUUUUACCACACUUCAGGUUCUAAAUCCUAUGCUUAUACUUACUGACCAAAAUCCUUUGCCACAAUGUUUCAGCCUCUAAAGGGGUACCCCUUCACAAUUCAUUGGUCGAAACGUACAAAAUUCUUGUGUGAUAAAAUUCCUAUGCUCAACUUGCAACUCACAUCUUUUUGGAAAUGACCUCCCACUAAAUCAAAUGAGAACCACCCCAUUCAUCUUCAGGUACUCUUUGCCAACAAAAAAACCUCUCAUAAUAUGCUCCAACUUAUGGAAAAUUGAGGAUCAAAUCCUAAAGAAAUGAAGAAACUAAAUUAGAAUCCCAUCAAAGAAACAUUGGAUCAAAAAGAGUGCCCCUGUAACAAAAAACCUAGAAAAAAAUGUCUUGUCUGAGUAAAUAAAUGUUGUUCAACCCAUUGAAUCUUGGAACAAAUAAGAUGUCAGUCCUCAGAUUAUGACUGAAUGGAAGGCCUAGAUAUAGACUUAGGCAGGCAAGAGAUCUCACACCCUACCAAAUAAGCCCACCUGGCUAGUUUACCUUGACCACAUACUUUCCCAACUACGUUACAGUUUUGUGUGUUGGUUUAAAAACCUGAAAUGAAUUCAAAGACCAGUAAGAUAUGUUUGAGGUUAAAGAAGGCAAUCCUCCAUUAAGCUGAAGAAGAUAGCCUCAUUAGAAAUGUGAAGGUGGGUAGCAUGAACACUUUCUUUUCCUCCAUAGAAUAUCUUUUACGUCUUAUACCCUAGGAAACAAUCUUGCCAAGGACAAAUAUUAACAACCAAAAGGUGAAGGAAUGGAUAUAAAGGAUCCUCAACCUAAUGUUCCUGGAAGCAAACUUCGCCUUUAGGUUUACCAAGGACAAGAAAAGAGAAAUUCAUCAAUCUUAAUCAAUUCCUUACAUAGAUUAUCCACUUGGAACCAAAACCCUUUUUCCUCAAUCUUAUGAAAAAAACUUAGGGAACGGUGCUAGGCAAGAACAUCCACGAUUACUUGAAUAAGCAGUCUAGUUACAUUUACAAUGAUAUUCAUCUAAAGAUGUACAUAACAGCAUUAACAGAUACUAGCCUUCUGGUGUUCUGUUUGAAAGUCAUACUUUAUCUCCCUGUCUCCAUUCAUCUUGGAAUUGUUUUGCAAUAAUUUUUCCUCACGAAUCUUUCCUCUUACUCUUUGUCUAUAUCCUUGUUUUUCAAACACCAUUAUGAAGGAAAGGAAUGUAGAAUUAGAGUCCUACCUUUACUUUCAGCUUCAGAUGUUUCCUCACGAACUUUCUUCUCAUUCUUUGUCUAUAUCAUUGUUUUUCAAACGCCAUUAUGAAGGAAAGGAAUGUAGAAUUAGAGUCCUACCCUUACUUUCAGCUUCUGAUGUGCUGGGAAAGUAGCAUGUAGCAAGUUUUGGCUAGUAGUAACCCAAUUAAAAAGGGAAUGGGAGGAGAUAGCAUUGUCUAAUGAACGACGUAAUAGUUUUCCCAACCGAAACGGUACCAAACUGUUAACAGUGUCAAGGUGGGUGAAAUCAUAGGCUACUAGUGUUUUCAAUCCUAUGUCAGUGUCCUCAUUGCCAACACUGCUUAAAUGCAAUGUUUAGAUGAUUAUGCAUCCAUGUACGGUUUAUGUGCUAUUAUGUAGCAACUUCUAGGAUGUGCUCAUGGGCUAAAGUUCUAUUAGUCAUGAUUAUUGGCAGUGGUUGGGUCAAUUUAAACUGUUUUAUUUUGGACUAGGGUCCUUUUUCUGUAGUUAGAUUUAGACUCCUUUGUUCACACUUGUUUUUUGUAUGCUCUUGACUCUUGAGCGUGGUUAUCUAAAAAACUGUACCAUCAUGUGUCAAGCUUUAACAGACAGCUAUGAAGUUAAGAAGUGUCUGGAUAAAAUAUCUGCUUAGACUGAAGGAGAUGCUUGUGGCAAGCCCUUAGAGAAUAUAUUCCUGACAUAGGAAAAGGUAAUAGAGAGAUUGAGAAGAG